RNAcentral lists this ribosomal RNA (783 nucleotides) under Graphomya rufitibia. RNAcentral's name for it is "12S ribosomal RNA". Lineage: Eukaryota; Metazoa; Arthropoda; Insecta; Diptera; Muscidae. The record is from RNAcentral.
CAUUCUAGAUACACUUUCCAGUACAUCUACUAUGUUACGACUUAUCUUACCUUAAUAAUAAGAGUGACGGGCGAUGUGUACAUAUUUUAGAGCUAAAAUCAAAUUAUUAAUCUAUAUAAUUUUACUAUCAAAUCCACCUUUAAUAAACAUUUCAAAUUUAAAUCCGUAUAAAUAAAUUUAUUGUAAUCCAUUUCUACUUAAAUAUUAGCUACACCUUGAUCUGAUAUACAUUCUUUUUAAAAAUUAAGAAAAUUAACAUUCUUAUAAAAUAUUCUAAUAACGACGGUAUAUAAACUGAAUACAAAUUUAAGUUAGGUCCAUCGUGGAUUAUCGAUUACAGAACAGAUUCCUCUGAAUAGACUAAAAUACCGCCAAAUUUUUUAAGUUUCAAGAACAUAACUACUACUACCUUAAUUUUUUAGUACAUUUUUAAUAAUAGGGUAUCUAAUCCUAGUUUAUUACAAAAAUUUCCAAGCUUUAAUAUUUAACGAAUAAAAAUAAUUGAAAUUUAAAAUUUCACCUAAUAAAUAAAAUUUUAUUUUUAAAAUACAAUUUAACUAUAAUUAAAAAUAAUUUACUUGCAAUAUUCGUAUAACCGCGGCUGCUGGCACAAAUUUAGCCAUUACUUUUUAAUAUUACUAUUUAUAAAUUUCUUUAAUUAAUAAUAUUUAUUAAUGAGAAUAUAAAAAAAAUAUUUACUAUUAAAAUAAAUAAAAAUUCACACAAAAAUUUACAUAUAAAUUAAACUAAUAAUAAAUUUAAAAGCUAAAAUAAAACUUUAUA